Micropterus dolomieu (smallmouth bass) is the source of this 1285-nucleotide long non-coding RNA. RefSeq lists it as uncharacterized. The record is from RefSeq and is a predicted model, not a curated record. NCBI's taxonomy places the organism in Eukaryota, Metazoa, Chordata, Actinopteri, Centrarchiformes, Centrarchidae. The transcript is spliced from 3 exons.
CAAUGAAACAAAGAGUGAAAAAUUUAAAUGGGUCUGAAUACUUUCCGUACCCACUGUAUCUUAAUAGCUCAUUCAAUUUGUCUGAAUAGUAACAGUUAAUGCUUUAUUGCUUUCACCCAUUCUGUUUUGAUUCGGUCAUAAUACAUUGCUUUCCCUUUCUAUUUUUAUUACAGCAUCUGGAAACAGACCAAGAAUUUACAGAGGGACAAAGUACCUCAAAUUUAAGUGAUUUAAAGCAAAAUUUAGUGAAUGUUUCAAUGUUACACAAAAGCAACCAAAGCAGUGCUGCCCCCACGGACAAAACGUUGUUGUUGAUGUCUGGGUGGGUCUCCAAGCUCUGUGGUCAAGUUACUGAUGAGUGCUGACAGGAAAUCAGCAGUCAACAUUCCGCACAUCUAAUGCUUACAUUAGAUUACAUUUGGUUUCUGGUGGCGAGUUAGAUGAGAUGAUCAAUACCACUCUGUUAAAUACGAAGCUAGAGCCAAGAGAUGACUAGCUCUGGCCUGCUCCUGCCUACUCUGCUUUUAUGUUACCAAACUCGAAACACUCAAUUUGGAGGUCCAGACCGACUUAUACCAAGGCACAUAACACCAGCAGCGGAGGCGCAGAAGUCAGGACACGACUACGGAGCCACGGCGCUCAUCUCCCAGCCACAGACUCUUCCUUCUCAAGCCUGAUCAAUGCACCUUUCUGCUUCCACAAAAAUCAAAUCUUACACAAAGAUGCACAAAGGGACCUUCCGACUGCCACAAUGGGAGCCUGGCUGCACCUUCUGUCGUCAAAGAAGCAGUUUUAGACGCACAUGUACUAUCAUAAAAGUUUUGAGCAUAGAAAUUCCCUGCUCAGAAAUAUCUUUUUAUAUUUAAGUGUAAAUUAAAUGCUGUCCCUAAAUCUGCAAGACAAAUGUAUGAAAUGUUUGUUUGUGAGUUGAUCAUUUUACCUAUCAGUAUGUUAAAAGUAUACAGUUGAUUAUGUGCUGUGUAUGUAUGUAUGUAUGUAUAUGUGUGUGUGUGUGUAUAUAUGUGUGUGUGUGUGUGUGUGUGUGUGUGUGUGUGUAUGUAUAUAUGUAUAUGUAUAUAUACACACAUUUGCCAAAAUGGAUAUACACAAAUUUUGUCAUUGCGUAAACCGUUAACCAUGUAAAUCCAGGAUCCACAGUUUUACGAGUGACUUUGGUAGAAAAUCUAUUCAGCAGAUGACAGACAGUUGUGUAAUAUGUGUAACAUUAUUCAUGUUUACUUAUUUAACAUCAAAUAAAACUGUUGUACGAUGUUUCUUUACUUCA